AUUGAACGCUGGCGGCAGGCCUAACACAUGCAAGUCGAGCGAGCGGCGGACGGGUGAGUAAUGUCUGGGGACUGCCCGAUAGAGGGGGAUAACUACUGGAAACGGUGGAUAAUACCGCAUCCUAUCGGAUAACCCAUAUGGGAUUAGCUAGUAGGUGGGGGAAAGGCUCACCUAGGCGACGAUCUCUCGCUGGUCUGAGAGGAUGAACAUACAAACGGGGACGUAGACACGGCCCAGAAUCGUACGGAGGCAGCAGUGGGGAAUAUGGCAGAAUGGGCGUAAGCCUGAUGCAGCCAUGCCGCGUGUAUGAAGAGGGCCUUAGGUUUGUAAAGUACUUGCAGCGGGGAGGCGUUACCCGCAGAAGAAGCGCCGGCUAACUCCGUGCCAGCAGCCGCGGUAAUAC
RNAcentral lists this ribosomal RNA (403 nucleotides) under uncultured bacterium. RNAcentral's name for it is "partial 16S ribosomal RNA". It matches the Rfam family "Bacterial small subunit ribosomal RNA", at positions 29 to 526 of the family's 1533-position model. The record is from RNAcentral.